AUCGCUUCUCGGCCUUUUGGCUAAGAUCAAGUGUAGUAUAAUCAAGCUUUAUAAGUCUGCUUUUGAAGGUAACUUGAUGACCAAAAAUGUUACCGUGUAGCAUUUUGAUUGGAAAGUCUCAGUCUCUACAGAGCAAACUGUCCUGGUGAUCCUUC
This is a small nuclear RNA of Ailuropoda melanoleuca (giant panda), 155 nucleotides long. Its record names the gene U2. It matches the Rfam family "U2 spliceosomal RNA". Rfam says of the family: U2 is a small nuclear RNA (snRNA) component of the spliceosome (involved in pre-mRNA splicing). Complementary binding between U2 snRNA (in an area lying towards the 5' end but 3' to hairpin I) and the branchpoint sequence (BPS) of the intron results the bulging out of an unpaired adenosine, on the BPS, which initiates a nucleophilic attack at the intronic 5' splice site, thus starting the first of two transesterification reactions that mediate splicing. The record is from Ensembl. NCBI's taxonomy places the organism in Eukaryota, Metazoa, Chordata, Mammalia, Carnivora, Ursidae.